This 1717-nucleotide long non-coding RNA is filed under the name Gossypium barbadense (sea-island cotton). RNAcentral's name for it is "long non-coding RNA (GBAR_LNC007786)". The record is from RNAcentral. Lineage: Eukaryota; Viridiplantae; Streptophyta; Magnoliopsida; Malvales; Malvaceae.
ACCACCGAAAUUUUCAGCAAAGGGAAGGGUUUUGAAGUUUUAAAAUUUCAGCUAGGUUAUCCUCUUGCAAGUAAGUGCUUAAGAUGCUUAUUUUUUAUAAUUUUUGUACUUUUGGAACCCUUAUGGCAUGAGCUAGAUAAUGGGGGGACCAUUUUCCAAAAUGGUUGAUAGUCUAGGGAUUUUCCAUGAAAUAUUUAUGAUGUUUUCUAAGUUUUUAGGGAAGAAAAUGAAUCUUGGUUGUUAAAUAAACAACUUUUGUGAAAGAACUUCUCAUGAAAACCCUAAUAUGACCAUUUUGUAAAGAUUGUAAAAUAAAUAGUAAUGUGGUGAAAUAAUGGGAAUUUUGGGUCACUAUAAGAGUAAAAAGGGAUCUUCUAGGCUUAAGACUUAAAGAAAUCUGAUAAAAAGUGAUUUACGAGCCUAGGGGUAAAAUUGUAAUUUUUGUAAAGUUUAAGGGCAAAACGGUCAUUUUUUCCAAAGUAUGAGUCUUGAGUUGAAUUGAAUGAUUUGAGUAUUAAAUAAGCUAAAUUUUGACAUUUUAGAUCAAGAGAAAUGUGAUUCGGGUCUUGAUCAGGGAAAGAACAAAGUUUAUAAGGAUUAAGCUUGUUCCCAUCGUUUUGUACCGAGGUAAGUACAUAUGUAAAUAAUAUACAUAUGUAAAUAAUAUGUCAUUGUAGCUUACUUUUAAAUGUGUUGAUAUAUAUAUUUAAAUGUUUUAUUGUUAUCAUGUAUCAUAAUUUUAUUGUUAUGAAGAAUGUGAUAUAAGAGUAACCUACAUUAUGAGCAAGUGCGAUGACAUCGGGUUAGAUUUGAAAUCCCAUUGAACCUCAGGAAUAGUAUAGAAUACACAAAGUAGGUCAUGAGAAAUUAUGUGGUCUGAACUCAUGAGUUGUGUCUAAGUUCAUGAGAUGAAUGUUAUAUAUAAUGUGGGUCCGGGUAAUGGCUUCGUGACUAAACCCGUGAGUAACUCGCUGAACGAGCAUUUCAUGUUAACGCUAUAUGGGUCCGGGUGGUGACUUUGUGUAUAAGCCCGUGAGUAGCUUAAUGAGCAGGCAUUACGUGAUAAUGCUAUGGAGUCCGGGUACUGACUAGGUAAAAAUGCCCGUGAGUAGCUCAAAAUGCAAGCAUUACAUAGUAUGAGGUAGCUUUGGCUACUUAUAUGGCACUUAGGUGCAAACUUCCCGUGUAUCCAUUAGUAUUUCGAGUGUUCAACGGGUAACUCGAAAGGUGAGUUGGUGAUAAUUUCGAUGAAUUAUGUCAUUAGAGAGAAUGAACUUGAGUUAUUUUUACGGGUGAUUACAGGUAUGUGUACUAAACUUAUGAAUAAGGCCUUAUUAUGUGACAAGAUGUAGCAAGUAUGCGUAAAUGAAGUGAAGAGUAAGAUAGAAAGGUCUAAAUGAUAUAUAUCAUUCAAGUUUAAUAAAUUAUCAUCUGACGAAUGAGUUCCUUCUUAUACAUUAUUUGUAUAUAUGUACUUACUAAGCUUUAUGCUUAUUCUAUUCCUUUCCAUUUUCUUAUAGUGUUGUCAAGCUCGUAUCGGGGAUCAAGGGACGUCGGAGGCAUUGGUCACACUAUCACUUGAAGCUUUUGGUAUAGUUAAUUUAAAUGUUGUAAUUUUGGCAUUUAUAGGGACUCAAAUCUUUGGUUUAGUGUCUUGUUCGAUCAGCCACAAGUGUUGGCUCUUAUGAUGGAUGUGAUAACAUUUUGUAUAGGCCAU